This 419-nucleotide ribosomal RNA is filed under the name uncultured bacterium. Its description in RNAcentral is "bacterial SSU rRNA". It matches the Rfam family "Bacterial small subunit ribosomal RNA", at positions 355 to 774 of the family's 1533-position model. The record is from RNAcentral.
UGAGGAAUAUUGCGCAAUGGAGGAAACUCCGACGCAGCGACGCCGCGUGAAGGAUGAAUGCCCUCUGGGUUGUAAACUUCUGUAGAGAGGGCAGAAUGUCCGCCUUCGGCGGAUUGACGGUACCUCUAAAGUAAGCAUCGGCUAACUACGUGCCAGCAGCCGCGGUAAUACGUAGGGUGCGAGCGUUAAUCGGAAUUACUGGGCGUAAAGCGUGCGCAGGCGGUUUUGUAAGACAGAUGCGAAAUCCCCGGGCUUAACCUGGGAAAUGCGUCUGUGACUGCAAGGCUGGAGUACGGCAGAGGGGGGUUGAAUUCCACGUGUGGCAGUGAAAUGCGUAGAGAUGUGGAGGAAAACCGAUGGCGAAGGCAGCCCCCUGGGCCUGUACUGACGCUCAUGCACGAAAGCGUGGGGAGCAAACA